RNAcentral lists this ribosomal RNA (388 nucleotides) under uncultured bacterium. Its description in RNAcentral is "bacterial SSU rRNA". It matches the Rfam family "Bacterial small subunit ribosomal RNA", at positions 29 to 416 of the family's 1533-position model. The record is from RNAcentral.
AUUGAACGCUGGCGGCAUGCUUUACACAUGCAAGUCGAACGGCAGCACGGGCUUCGGCCUGGUGGCGAGUGGCGAACGGGUGAGUAAUGCAUCGGAACGUACCGUGUAAUGGGGGAUAACGUAGCGAAAGUUACGCUAAUACCGCAUACGCCCUGAGGGGGAAAGUGGGGGGACCGCAAGGCCUCACGUUAUACGAGCGGCCGAUGUCGGAUUAGCUAGUUGGUGGGGUAAAGGCCUACCAAGGCGACGAUCCGUAGCGGGUCUGAGAGGAUGAUCCGCCACACUGGGACUGAGACACGGCCCAGAUUCCUACGGGAGGCAGCAGUGGGGAAUUUUGGGACAAUGGGCGCAAGCCUGAUCCAGCCAUGCCGCGUGAGUGAAGAAGGCC